RNAcentral lists this ribosomal RNA (503 nucleotides) under uncultured bacterium. Its description in RNAcentral is "bacterial SSU rRNA". It matches the Rfam family "Bacterial small subunit ribosomal RNA", at positions 29 to 507 of the family's 1533-position model. The record is from RNAcentral.
AACGAACGCUGGCGGCGUGCCUAACACAUGCAAGUCGUGCGAGAAAGUUCCUUCGGGAGCGAGUAAAGCGGCGCACGGGUGAGUAACACGUAGGUAACCUGCCCCCCAGUCUGGAACAACUAGAGGAAACUCUAGCUAAUGCCGGAUGAGACCACGAUCCCUUCGGGGGUUGCGGCCAAAGAUGGCCUCUACUUGUAAGCUAUCGCUGAGGGAUGGGCCUGCGGGCCAUUAGCUUGUUGGUGAGGUAACGGCUCACCAAGGCUGUGAUGGCUAGCUGGUCUGAGAGGAUGACCAGCCACACUGGGACUGAGACACGGCCCAGACUCCAACGGGAGGCAGCAGUGGGGAAUAUUGCGCAAUGGGCGAAAGCCUGACGCAGCGACGCCGCGUGGGUGAUGAAGGCCUUCAGGUCGUAAAGCCCUGUCGCAGGGGAAGAAUAAGCAUCGGUAUAAUGCGCCGGUGCCCUGACGGUACCCUGCAAGAAAGCACCGGCUAACUCCGUG